UACGUAGGGGGCAAGCGUUAUCCGGAUUUACUGGGUGUAAAGGGGGCACAGACGGCGAUGCAAGCCAGGAGUGAAAGCCCGGGGCCCAACCCCGGGACUGCAUUGGGAACUACCGGGCUGGAGUGCCGGAGAGGUAGGCGGAAUUCCUAGUGUAGCGGUGAAAUGCGUAGAUAUUAGGAGGAACACCAGUGGCGAAGGCGGCCUACUGGACGGUGACUGACGCUGAGGCUCGAAAGCGUGGGGAGCAAACAGG
This 253-nucleotide ribosomal RNA is filed under the name uncultured bacterium. RNAcentral's name for it is "partial 16S ribosomal RNA". It matches the Rfam family "Bacterial small subunit ribosomal RNA", at positions 524 to 776 of the family's 1533-position model. The record is from RNAcentral.